ACAGCCGCCUAGCCGCGGCUGCGGAUCCAGGCAUCUCCGCACUCUUGGGGGCCAGGAAGGCCCCCCUUUACCCCCGCAGCCUUGGAGGUGUCUGCUCCUGCUGCCUGGCUUCUCCCAGCUCCUGCUGCUCACUCUGAUCUCGGAGCAAGGUUGGGGCCAAGCCCAGGUGCUGUUGCAGCCCAGCUGGGUGUGCGCACACUCAGGGCAGCGCUGACACACCAGUCCCCUGCCGCCUCAGCCUCCUCUGGGCUUUGGGCACCGAUAAGCCCGUGAGGGAGGCCGCGGCAGGGGCUGAGGGCAGCUUUGCACUGGCCUGCUGGUGCCCCUGGGCCGGAACCGCCUGGGCACCAUAAAGGCGGCAGGAUCAGACAGGCUCCUGGGAAACAGGCAGGUCCCUGGUGAAGCCCCACCUUCCAUCCGGGGAAGGUCUGAAGUCUGGCGGCCGGGCUGCUGGUCCCGUGAUCAGAGUGGGAACUUGUGGUGCUUUUUUCGGGCCGUCCAUGGCUGCUAAUGGACUGACUGGCACACACUUCCUCCCCUCUGAGGCCCAUAAAAAGCCACGGACUCAGCCAGACCUGAAGAGACGAUGGGACGACCUACCUAAAGAGAAGACCUACCCUUCUCUGCUGAGAGCUGAACACUCAUUGGGAAAACCCUGGCUACCUAGAGGAGCUACCUACUGCGGGUCUCCUCUGAGCUGUUCUGUUGUUCAGUAAAGCUCCUCUUUGUCUUGUUCAUCCUCCACUUGUCCGUGUACCUCAUUCUUCCUGGACACCCAGGACAAGAAAUCGGGACCCGUCAAAUGGUGGGGCUAAAAGAGCUGUAACACAAACAGGGCUGAAACACGCCUUUUGCUUGCCACGUUGCGGGCAACAAGAAGGAGAGAAGAGAGAAGAAAAGAAGAGCUGCAGCCCGUCAGGGAUCCCAGACCUAGGAGCUCCCCGAGCCAGGUCUGUGACACCCUCUUUAGGGCUCUGCAGUUUCUGGCGUCUCCAAGCUUCUGGGUAUCACCAUGUUCCCUGAUGUCAGCUGUGGAAGUUGCUUAUGGUACGCCUGGUCUAGCAGCAGCCUUGCGGGGAGCCAGCUCUGGAGCCAGCACCUGGAGCUGCCCACCCUGCUGCAGCUGGAGUGCCUGGCUGCGCACAGUGGCCGGACCCCAAGCUCGCCCACACCUCUUGCUGCUCCACGCCUGACUUGCCCUUGGCAGGUGUGGGAUCCAGGCCAGUAGUGCGAGCCAAGGGUAACCUUCCAGGCAGAGUGGGCGGAAUGAGCCCAGAGGGCCAGAGCAAAACCCAGCAAAGGUACCACUGGCCACAGAGGUUUCUGGAUGGCCAAGUGACACUCCAAGGAUCCCAUAACGCUAUGUGCUUGUUCAACCCUGGAUCCAAAUAUGCUCCAGAAGAUAAGUUGGUA
RNAcentral lists this long non-coding RNA (1413 nucleotides) under Homo sapiens (human). RNAcentral describes it as "HSALNT0302550". The record is from RNAcentral. Lineage: Eukaryota; Metazoa; Chordata; Mammalia; Primates; Hominidae.